AAUUCCUUUUGCUUAGUUGUUAAUAAUAUUAGACGACUAGAGUAGACUCGGAAGUUUCCCACCCAGAAUAGAGGCUCAAGAAGCAUUACAAAUUCUUCUCUUUCUCAGAUUGUUUUGCAUCAAUUAAAGCUGAGAGCAGAACAAAUACAAGAAUGUCCAGCAGCCUCUUGAGCGUUUUCUCUGUACUUUCAUUUGUUUGAAUGAAAAUCUAAUUCAUCCAAGCAAAAGAUACAUUGGUGUCUUUUUUUUUUUUUUUUUUUUUUUUUAAAUAAAUUUUUUUGGCAUAGUUUGGUAGAUAUGGCAGAUCCUGUUACAGGGGCUGUUGUGGGGGCAGCUUUUGGAGAGGGAUUUGCUAUUUUGCAUGGAACAGUUAAGCAUGUGGUAAGAGAAAUCGUCAUGUUCAAAUCCAUUCUUGGACGCUUAGAAUCCACGCUAGAUCGUAUAGCACCACAGGCCCAAAAGAUAAAAGAAUUAAUCCUAGCUCUUGAUCGCCCAGAAAAGGAAAUAAAGAACUUGAUCGAAAAAAUGGAGAAGGGCAACGAGCUGGUUCUCAAGUGCUCCAAAAUCAAAAUCAAGCGCUGGAGUUUGAACUACUGUGUCAAAGCCUAUUCUUAUUCGAAACAACUUAAGGAGUUGAACGAUGCCAUUGAAAAGUUUUGUCAGGUUGAUUUGGCAUUACAGAUCGCAAGGACUGGGUUGGAGAAUUCGGUCAAGCUGGAUCGGAACACAAACAUUGCACAGCAGACUUUGGCCGGUGUGAACGGUAUUCGGGAUCAAAUGAAUAAUCAGAAUUUGGACGUAAGGAUGAGAUUUGGGUUACGGACACUGUCGGUGCCUAAACCCCGGGAUGAUAUUGUUGGGUUGGAUUUGCCUUUGAAGGAGUUGAAGCAGCUACUGUCUAAUAAAAAGGAGCCGCUUCUUCUAUUGACUGCUCUUGGAGGUUGCGGGAAGACCACACUCGUCAAAAUGCUUUUUUGGGAUGAGGAUAUUAAAGGCAUAUAUGGGGAAAAUAUAUAUUUUGUCAACGUUUCACAAGCUCCCAACCUGAAGGUCAUGGUACAAAACUGUUUAAGCAUAAUGGUGAGGAUUGUCCUGAGUUUCAAAGUGAUGAAGAAGCAAUUGACCAGCUAGAGCAACUGCUGAAUGAAAUUAGACAACCUAUAUUGUUGAUAUUGGAUGAUGUCUGGCCCGGAUCAGAAUCCCUUAUUGAGAAGUUCAAGUUUAAUAUUCCUGAUUACAAGAUUGUGGUGACUUCAAGAACUGCAUUUCCAAGAUUUCCAUAUAGAUAUAAAUUAAAUCCAUUAAAUCGUGUAGAUGCCAUGAGUCUUUUUUGUAACUCAGCAUCAUUGCAAGACCAAGACGAGAGCUCUGACAUUCCAGAAGAAUAUAUCGAAAAGUUUGUAAGCGGUUGUGGGGGGUUGCCAAUAGCGCUUAAGGUGAUUGGUGGUUCACUCCGUGGGCAACUUGCAGAUGUUUGGCUCAGUAAACUAACAAAAUGGUCCGAGGGUCAUUCUAUUUUUGACUCUGAUGCAGAGGUGCUUGUUUGUCUCCAAAAAAGCCUAGAAUUUUCUGCUGACAAGACCAUCCUCAAAGAGUAUUUCAUGGACCUAGGUUCAUUUCCUGAAGACCAAAGGAUCUCUGCUACUGCCCUCAUUGAUAUGUGGACAGAAUUACAUGAACCAAGUGAAGAAGUUGUCCAUAUAAUUUCCAAUUUGCGGGAACUCCACAAUCGGAAUUUGGCUAGUCUUGUAAUGACAAGGAAAGAUGGAACUAAGAUCGACUACUAUUACAAUGAAGACUUUGUCACACAACAUGAUGUUCUCAGAGACCUAGCUAUCCAUCUAAACAACCAGGAGCCAGUACUACAAAGGAAAAGACUAAUUGUGGACAUCAGUGGAAACAAUCCACCGAAAUGGUGGACGGAACAGAAGCAACCACUCAUUAAUGCACGCCUAUUAUCUAUCUCAACUGAUGAAUUGUUUUCGUCAAGUUGGUGCAACAUUCAAGCACCCGAAGUUGAGGCUUUAGUUCUGAAUUUUCAAACAAGGAAUUAUGCCUUGCCCGAGUUUGUGGAGAAAAUGGUUAAACUCAAGGUUAUAGUUGUCACUAAUUAUGGUUUCUUUCCUGCUGAAUUAAGCAAUUUUCAGCUACUCAGGUCCCUCCCCAAUCUAACGAGAAUUAGAUUAGAGAAGGUUUCAAUUCCUUCGCUAUGCAAGACCCUUGUUUUAUUGAGGAGUUUGAAGAAAUUAUCUUUAUUUAUGUGUAAUAUUGGUCAAGCUUUUGGGAAUUCAACCAUACAGGUUUUAGAUUCAUUGCCAAAUCUAAUGGAGAUAAACAUUGACUAUUGCAAUGAUUUGGUGGAAUUGCCUGGAUGGUUAUGUGAGGUUCUCCCCCUGAAAAAACUUAGGAUCUCCAAUUGUCAUAAGUUGCCUUUACUGCCCGAAAGAAUUGGAAACUUAACAAAUUUAGAAGUGCUAAGACUUAGGUCUUGUACUGAAUUGUCAAAGUUGCCAGAUUCAAUCAAAAGUCUCCAUAAGUUGAGCAUUCUUGACAUAUCUGACUGCCUAAGCAUUUGCAAGUUGCCAAAACACAUUGGUGAGUUGCAUAGUUUAACAGAGUUCCACAUGAAAGAGUGCUUGAGGUUGCGGAAUCAAUUGCCACCAUCAAUUAUGGAGCUUCAGCAGUUGAAGCUUGUGGUAUGUGACGAAGAGAGGGCCAAGUUAUGGGAGCCUUUCAAGGAAUUCCUCUCAAUUUUAAAGGUAAAAGUGGCUAAGAAAGAUAUCAACUUGAAUUGGCUUCCCAAAUACUGAUUGUGGAGGCCAGUUUCUUCUUGAAAAAUUUUGUAGGUUUAUGAUUUGAUAUUGUUCUCUUCCGUUCUUUGUUCUUUUGUCCUUUUUUUUCUUUUGUAAAGAUCAUGAAAUAAGUGGCUUAGUACACUCAAAAAAGGAAAUGUUUUUUAGGAGUUGCAGUUGUAGAUAUAUUAUAUGUACCCCUUAAAAGUAUUGGGAAAUUUAAUGCUGAGGGAUGUGAAUGCAUAGUUUUCAUUAUGUAUGGUUACGUGGAAAAAGAACUUGUAAAAUUCAUUUAGUAAA
Quercus lobata is the source of this 3092-nucleotide RNA transcript. It is a transcript of the gene named probable disease resistance protein At5g66900, with no coding region annotated. Lineage: Eukaryota; Viridiplantae; Streptophyta; Magnoliopsida; Fagales; Fagaceae. The transcript has 5 exons. The record is from RefSeq and is a predicted model, not a curated record.